RNAcentral lists this ribosomal RNA (457 nucleotides) under uncultured bacterium. Its description in RNAcentral is "bacterial SSU rRNA". It matches the Rfam family "Bacterial small subunit ribosomal RNA", at positions 8 to 507 of the family's 1533-position model. The record is from RNAcentral.
AGAGUUUGAUCCUGGCUCAGAACGAACGCUGGCGGCAGGCUUAACACAUGCAAGUCGAACGCUCGUAGCAAUACGGGAGUGGCGGACGGGUGAGUAACGCGUGGGAACGUGCCCUGAGGUACGGAAUAACUGCGGGAAACUGCAGCUAAUACCGUAUGAGCCCCGCAAGGGGGAAAGAUUUAUCGCCUUGGGAGCGGCCCGCGUCGGAUUAGCUAGUUGGUGGGGUAACGGCCUACCAAGGCUUCGAUCCGUAGCUGGUCUGAGAGGACGAUCAGCCACACUGGGACUGAGACACGGCCCAGACUCCUACGGGAGGCAGCAGUGGGGAAUCUUGCGCAAUGGGGGCAACCCUGACGCAGCCAUGCCGCGUGAAUGAUGAAGGCCUUAGGGUUGUAAAGUUCUUUUGCCCGUGACGAUGAUGACGGUAACGGGAGAAUAAGCUCCGGCUAACUUCGUG